CGAUUGGAUUGCACGUCUAAGCAGUAAGGCUGAGUAUUAGGCAAAUCCGGUACUCAUUAAGGCUGAGCUGUGAUGGGGAGAAGACAUUGUGUCUUCGAGUCGUUGAUUUCACACUGCCGAGAAAAGCCUCUAGAUAGAAAAUAGGUGCCCGUACCGCAAACCGACACAGGUAGUCAAGAUGAGAAUUCUAAGGUGAGCGAGCGAACUCUCGUUAAGGAACUCGGCAAAAUGACCCCGUAACUUCGGGAGAAGGGGUGCUCUUUAGGGUUAACGCCCAGAAGAGCCGCAGUGAAUAGGCCCAAGCGACUGUUUAUCAAAAACACAGGUCUCUGCUAAACCGUAAGGUGAUGUAUAGGGGCUGACGCCUGCCCGGUGCUGGAAGGUUAAGAGGAGUGGUUAGCUUCUGCGAAGCUACGAAUCGAAGCCCCAGUAAACGGCGGCCGUAACUAUAACGGUCCUAAGGUAGCGAAAUUCCUUGUCGGGUAAGUUCCGACCCGCACGAAAGGCGUAACGAUUUGGGCACUGUCUCAACGAGAGACUCGGUGAAAUCAUAGUACCUGUGAAGAUGCAGGUUACCCGCGACAGGACGGAAAGACCCCGUGGAGCUUUACUGUAGCCUGAUAUUGAAAUUCGGCACAGCUUGUACAGGAUAGGUAGGAGCCUUUGAAACGUGAGCGCUAGCUUACGUGGAGGCGCUGGUGGGAUACUACCCUAGCUGUGUUGGCUUUCUAACCCGCACCACUUAUCGUGGUGGGAGACAGUGUCAGGCGGGCAGUUUGACUGGGGCGGUCGCCUCCUAAAAGGUAACGGAGGCGCUCAAAGGUUCCCUCAGAAUGGUUGGAAAUCAUUCAUAGAGUGUAAAGGCAUAAGGGAGCUUGACUGCGAGACCUACAAGUCGAGCAGGGUCGAAAGACGGACUUAGUGAUCCGGUGGUUCCGCAUGGAAGGGCCAUCGCUCAACGGAUAAAAGCUACCCCGGGGAUAACAGGCUUAUCUCCCCCAAGAGUUCACAUCGACGGGGAGGUUUGGCACCUCGAUGUCGGCUCAUCGCAUCCUGGGGCUGUAGUCGGUCCCAAGGGUUGGGCUGUUCGCCCAUUAAAGCGGUACGCGAGCUGGGUUCAGAACGUCGUGAGACAGUUCGGUCCCUAUCCGUCGUGGGCGUAGGAAAUUUGAGAGGAGCUGUCCUUAGUACGAGAGGACCGGGAUGGACAUACCUCUGGUGUACCAGUUGUCGUGCCAACGGCAUAGCUGGGUAGCUAUGUGUGGACGGGAUAAGUGCUGAAAGCAUCUAAGCAUGAAGCCCCCCUCAAGAUGAGAUUUCCCAACUUCGGUUAUAAGAUCCCUCAAAGAUGAUGAGGUUAAUAGGUUCGAGGUGGAAGCAUGGUGACAUGUGGAGCUGACGAAUACUAA
Molecule: ribosomal RNA, 1409 nt
Filed under: Staphylococcus aureus
Lineage: Bacteria; Bacillati; Bacillota; Bacilli; Caryophanales; Staphylococcaceae
Description: partial 23S ribosomal RNA
Rfam family: Bacterial large subunit ribosomal RNA
Source: RNAcentral